Molecule: ribosomal RNA, 478 nt
Filed under: Streptococcus sp. oral taxon C56
Lineage: Bacteria; Bacillati; Bacillota; Bacilli; Lactobacillales; Streptococcaceae
Description: bacterial SSU rRNA
Rfam family: Bacterial small subunit ribosomal RNA
Source: RNAcentral
GACGAACGCUGGCGGCGUGCCUAAUACAUGCAAGUAGAACGCUGAAGGAGGAGCUUGCUCUUCUGGAUGAGUUGCGAACGGGUGAGUAACGCGUAGGUAACCUGCCCGGUAGUGGGGGAUAACUAUUGGAAACGAUAGCUAAUACCGCAUAAUAACAGUUGUUGCAUGACAACUGUUUGAAAGGUGCAAUUGCAUCACUACCAGAUGGACCUGCGUUGUAUUAGCUAGUUGGUGGGGUAACGGCUCACCAAGGCGACGAUACAUAGCCGACCUGAGAGGGUGAUCGGCCACACUGGGACUGAGACACGGCCCAGACUCCUACGGGAGGCAGCAGUAGGGAAUCUUCGGCAAUGGACGAAAGUCUGACCGAGCAACGCCGCGUGAGUGAAGAAGGCUUUCGGAUCGUAAAGCUCUGUUGUAAGAGAAGAACGAGUGUGAGAGUGGAAAGUUCACACUGUGACGGUAUCUACCAGAAAGG